This 253-nucleotide unclassified non-coding RNA is filed under the name uncultured Gammaproteobacteria bacterium. Its description in RNAcentral is "contains 16S-23S intergenic spacer region". It matches the Rfam family "Bacterial small subunit ribosomal RNA", at positions 524 to 776 of the family's 1533-position model. Lineage: Bacteria; Pseudomonadati; Pseudomonadota; Gammaproteobacteria. The record is from RNAcentral.
UACAGAGGGUGCAAGCGUUAAUCGGAAUGACUGGGCAUAAAGGGUGCGUAGGUGGCCCUAUAAGUUAGGUGUGAAAUACCCGAGCUCAACUUGGGAGUUGCACUUAAGACUGUAGAGCUAGAGUUCAUGAAAGGGUGGAGGAAUUUCCGGUGUAGCGGUGAAAUGCUUAGAUAUCGGAAGGAACACCAGUGGCGAAGGCGUCUGCCUAGAAUGAAACUGACACUGAGGCACGAAAGCGUGGGGAGCAAACAGG